AGCGUACAAGGUGGAUGCCUUGGCAAUCAGAGGCGAAGAAGGACGUGCUAAUCUGCGAAAAGCUUGGAUGAGUCGAUAAGAGGCGUUUAAUCCAAGAUAUCCGAAUGGGGAAACCCAGUAGAUGAAGAAUCUACUAUCAACAAGUGAAUUCAUAGCUUGUUGAGGCAAACCGGGAGAACUGAAACAUCUAAGUACCCCGAGGAAAAGAAAUCAACCGAGAUUUCGUCAGUAGCGGCGAGCGAAAGCGAAAGAGCCAGUAAGUGAUAACAGUAUGGUUAGGAGAAUGUGUUGGGAAGCACAAUCAAAGAGGGUGAUAAUCCCGUAUCUAAAAACCAUAUUGUGGUACUAAGCUAACGAGAAGUAGGGCGGGACACGUGAUAUCCUGUUUGAAGAAGGGGGGACCAUCCUCCAAGGCUAAAUACUCCUGAUUGACCGAUAGUGAACCAGUACUGUGAAGGAAAGGCGAAAAGAACCCCGGUGAGGGGAGUGAAAUAGAACCUGAAACCUUGUACGUACAAGCAGUGGGAGCCCCAUCACUUAAUCCGAUUGGAAGGUGAUGAAAAGCAACCGCACUUAAACAAUGGUAAGAGGAGCGAAGCGAGUCAAACCACCCAAAAGAAGCAGUGGGAUUAAGUGAUGGGGUGACUGCGUACCUUUUGUAUAAUGGGUCAGCGACUUAUAUUUUGUAGCGAGGUUAACCGAAUAGGGGAGCCGAAGGGAAACCGAGUCUUAACUGGGCGUCUAGUUGCAAGGUAUAGACCCGAAACCCGGUGAUCUAGCCAUGGGCAGGUUGAAGGUUGGGUAACACUAACUGGAGGACCGAACCGACUAAUGUUGAAAAAUUAGCGGAUGACUUGUGGCUGGGGGUGAAAGGCCAAUCAAACCGGGAGAUAGCUGGUUCUCCCCGAAAUCUAUUUAGGUAGAGCCUUGAGGUGACACCUUUGGGGGUAGAGCACUGUUUCGGCUAGGGGUCCAUCCCGGAUUACCAACCCGAUGCAAACUACGAAUACCAAAGAGUGAUACUCAGGAGACACACGGCGGGUGCUAACGUCCGUCGUGGAGAGGGAAACAACCCAGACCGCCAGCUAAGGUCCCCAAGUCUAUAUUAAGUGGGAAACGAAGUGGGAAGGCUUAGACAGCUAGGAUGUUGGCUUAGAAGCAGCCAUCAUUUAAAGAAAGCGUAAUAGCUCACUAGUCGAGUCGGCCUGCGCGGAAGAUGUAACGGGGCUGAAAUAUAGCACCGAAGCUGCGGCAUCAGGCGUAUCACUAAUACGCCUUACGAUUAACAACAUGGAAUGGCGCGAAGCGACAUGAAAGGUUGUUCAAGCAACCCGAACGUUGAGUCGGGCAUCUUAGAGUGAGGAUGAUUAGUGAUACGCCUGUUGGGUAGGGGAGCGUUGUGUAAGCGGAAGAAGGUUCAUCGAGAGGUGGGCUGGACGUAUCACAAGUGCGAAUGCUGACAUAAGUAACGAUAAAACGGGUGAAAAACCCGUUCGCCGGAAGACCAAGGGUUCCUGUCCAACGUUAAUCGGGGCAGGGUGAGUCGGCUCCUAAGGCGAGGCUGAAAAGCGUAGUCGAUGGGAAACAGGUUAAUAUUCCUGUACUUGGUAAAGCUGCGAUGUGGGGACGGAGUAGGUUAGGUUAUCGCACUGUUGGAUAUGUGCGUUUAAGUUGGUAGGUGGGAAGUUUAGGCAAAUCCGGACUUCCUUAACACAGAGAGAUGAUGACGAGGCUCUACGGAGCUGAAGUAACUGAUACCACACUUCCAGGAAAAGCCACUAAGCGAAAGGCUUUACUAAACCGUACUGAAAACCGACACAGGUGGUCAGGUAGAGAAUACUCAGGCGCUUGAGAGAACUCGGGUGAAGGAACUAGGCAAAAUAGCACCGUAACUUCGGGAGAAGGUGCGCCGGCGUAGAUUGUAGUCCCUAGCGGGCGAAGGUUGAACCGGUCGAAGAUACCAGCUGGCUGCAACUGUUUAUUAAAAACACAGCACUCUGCAAACACGAAAGUGGAGGUAUAGGGUGUGAUGCCUGCCCGGUGCUGGAAGGUUAAUUGAUGGUGUCAUCGCAAGAGAAGCACCUGAUCGAAGCCCCAGUAAACGGCGGCCGUAACUAUAACGGUCCUAAGGUAGCGAAAUUCCUUGUCGGGUAAGUUCCGACCUGCACGAAUGGCAUAAUGAUGGCCAGGCUGUCUCCACCCGAGACUCAGUGAAAUUGAAAUCGCCGUGAAGAUGCGGUGUACCCGCGGCUAGACGGAAAGACCCCGUGAACCUUUACUAUAGCUUGACACUGAACAUUGAAUUUUGAUGUGUAGGAUAGGUGGGAG
This 2328-nucleotide ribosomal RNA is filed under the name Haemophilus influenzae. RNAcentral describes it as "bacterial LSU rRNA". It matches the Rfam family "Bacterial large subunit ribosomal RNA", at positions 14 to 2153 of the family's 2925-position model. Lineage: Bacteria; Pseudomonadati; Pseudomonadota; Gammaproteobacteria; Pasteurellales; Pasteurellaceae. The record is from RNAcentral.